CAAGAAGAAGGAGAAUCUCUGCGCGACUACAUAGCACGUUUCAACAUGGCCACACUGAAAGUGUGCAACUUAGAUGAGCCAUUGCCAUGUAGACUUUGAAGCAUGGCCUCCGUAAUGAGCAUCUCAUCUACUCCCUCAACAAGACGUAUCCGAGAGAUUAUGUCAAUCUCUUGGCCUCGGCCCGUAAGCACAUGCAGACCAAAGAGGGUC
Molecule: long non-coding RNA, 210 nt
Filed under: Elaeis guineensis (African oil palm)
Lineage: Eukaryota; Viridiplantae; Streptophyta; Magnoliopsida; Arecales; Arecaceae
Description: long non-coding RNA (EGUI_LNC033010)
Source: RNAcentral